UACGUAGGUGGCAAGCGUUGUCCGGAUUUACUGGGUGUAAAGGGCGUGUAGCCGGGAAGGCAAGUCAGAUGUGAAAUCCGGAGGCUCAACCUCCGAAUUGCAUUUGAAACUGUUUUUCUUGAGUACUGGAGAGGCAGGCGGAAUUCCUAGUGUAGCGGUGAAAUGCGUAGAUAUUAGGAGGAACACCAGUGGCGAAGGCGGCCUGCUGGGCUUUUACUGACGCUGAGGCUCGAAAGUGUGGGGAGCAAACAGG
Molecule: ribosomal RNA, 253 nt
Filed under: uncultured Oscillospiraceae bacterium
Lineage: Bacteria; Bacillati; Bacillota; Clostridia; Eubacteriales; Oscillospiraceae
Description: partial 16S ribosomal RNA
Rfam family: Bacterial small subunit ribosomal RNA
Source: RNAcentral